AUUUAUUUUUAAAUUUUAUUAUUAAACUUUUUUGAAAUCAUAUGUCCUUUAUUUAACUUUUAUUAUUUUUUGUUCCUUAUUAUUGAACUUAGUCAUGUAUCAUAACUAUGCAUUGAACGGAACUUGUGACGGAAGACGGUGAACAGUGAAGUUUCAAUCUUUGUUGUUUUCUGUCUAAACAUGCGUUCCACACCUGUCGAAAUCUGGGCUUUAUUAAAAAACUAUCUUCUCUAUUUUUUUAAUCAUUAAUUUUCGUAUGUAAAGUCCAGAUUGUUGGGUAUCAACAAAACUACUUGUUAUGUUUUUUUAUGGCUUUCCAUAUUAAUGGAUUUGGUCGA
This 338-nucleotide long non-coding RNA is filed under the name Arabidopsis lyrata. Its description in RNAcentral is "long non-coding RNA (ALYR_LNC003189)". Lineage: Eukaryota; Viridiplantae; Streptophyta; Magnoliopsida; Brassicales; Brassicaceae. The record is from RNAcentral.